AUGCUCGAUUCGGCAGCACAUAUGCUAAAAUUGGAAUGAUACAGAGAAGAUGAGCAUGACCCCUGCAUAAGGAUGACACACAAAUUCAUGAAACAUUUCAUAUUUUU
Molecule: small nuclear RNA, 107 nt
Organism: Mus pahari (shrew mouse)
Lineage: Eukaryota; Metazoa; Chordata; Mammalia; Rodentia; Muridae
Source: RefSeq, a predicted model, not a curated record